AGGUCUCCGUUGGUGAACCAGCGGAGGGAUCAUUACUGAGUUUACGCUCUACAACCCUUUGUGAACAUACCUAUAACUGUUGCUUCGGCGGGUAGGGUCUCCGUGACCCUCCCGGCCUCCCGCCCCCGGGCGGGUCGGCGCCCGCCGGAGGAUAACCAAACUCUGAUUUAACGACGUUUCUUCUGAGUGGUACAAGCAAAUAAUCAAAACUUUUAACAACGGAUCUCUUGGUUCUGGCAUCGAUGAAGAACGCAGCGAAAUGCGAUAAGUAAUGUGAAUUGCAGAAUUCAGUGAAUCAUCGAAUCUUUGAACGCACAUUGCGCCCGCCAGCAUUCUGGCGGGCAUGCCUGUUCGAGCGUCAUUUCAACCCUCAAGCUCUGCUUGGUGUUGGGGCCCUACAGCUGAUGUAGGCCCUCAAAGGUAGUGGCGGACCCUCCCGGAGCCUCCUUUGCGUAGUAACUUUACGUCUCGCACUGGGAUCCGGAGGGACUCUUGCCGUAAAACCCCCAAUUUUCCAAAGGUUGACCUCGGAUCAGGUAGGAAUACCCGCUGAACUUAAGCAUAUC
Molecule: ribosomal RNA, 566 nt
Filed under: Colletotrichum sp. BDS-2011
Lineage: Eukaryota; Fungi; Ascomycota; Sordariomycetes; Glomerellales; Glomerellaceae
Description: eukaryotic LSU rRNA
Rfam family: 5.8S ribosomal RNA (bases 208-361)
Source: RNAcentral